Molecule: small nuclear RNA, 151 nt
Filed under: Zalophus californianus (California sea lion)
Lineage: Eukaryota; Metazoa; Chordata; Mammalia; Carnivora; Otariidae
Description: U2 spliceosomal RNA (ENSZCAG00015006489.1)
Rfam family: U2 spliceosomal RNA
About the family: U2 is a small nuclear RNA (snRNA) component of the spliceosome (involved in pre-mRNA splicing). Complementary binding between U2 snRNA (in an area lying towards the 5' end but 3' to hairpin I) and the branchpoint sequence (BPS) of the intron results the bulging out of an unpaired adenosine, on the BPS, which initiates a nucleophilic attack at the intronic 5' splice site, thus starting the first of two transesterification reactions that mediate splicing.
Source: RNAcentral
AUCACUUCUCGGCCUUUUGGCUAAGAUCAAGUGUAAAAAUACAGAAUCAUUAAACAUCAUCUAUAGUGUUUUUUUAGAAAAGCUUUGUUAAAAUUUACUUCUGGAUAAAAGUUGUACAUACCUGCACGUCCACUCUCUUGGUAAUAAUUUU